RNAcentral lists this ribosomal RNA (948 nucleotides) under uncultured bacterium. Its description in RNAcentral is "bacterial SSU rRNA". It matches the Rfam family "Bacterial small subunit ribosomal RNA", at positions 8 to 935 of the family's 1533-position model. The record is from RNAcentral.
AGAGUUUGAUCAUGGCUCAGAACGAACGCUGGCGGCGUGGAUAAGACAUGCAAGUCGAGCGGGAUUUCUUUUGGUAGCAAUACCGAGGGAAAUUCAGCGGCGAACGGGUGCGUAACACGUGGGCAAUCUGUCUUAAAGUGGGGGAUAGCUCGGCGAAAGCCGAAUUAAUACCGCAUGUGAUCAGGGAGGACAUCUUUCCGAAAUCAAAGGUGGCGCAAGCUACCGCUUUUUGAGGGGCCCGCGGCCUAUCAGCUUGUUGGUGAGGUAACGGCUUACCAAGGCUAUGACGGGUAGCUGGUCUGAGAGGACGACCAGUCACACUGGGACUGAGACACGGCCCAGACACCUACGGGUGGCAGCAGUCGAGAAUUUUUGACAAUGGGGGAAACCCUGAUCGAGCGACGCCGCGUGGAGGAUGAAGGUCUUCGGGUUGUAAACUCCUGUCAUUUGGGAACAAGGCGCGUGUAUUAACUGUGCACGCGUUGAUAGUACCAGAAGAGGAAGAGACGGCUAACUCUGUGCCAGCAGCCGCGGUAAUACAGAGGUCUCAAGCGUUGUUCGGAUUCAUUGGGCGUAAAGGGUGUGUAGGUGGCGCGCUAAGUCGGGUGUGAAAUUUCGGAGCUUAACUCCGAAACUGCAUUCGAUACUGGCGUGCUUGAGGACUGGAGAGGAGACUGGAAUUUACGGUGUAGCAGUGAAAUGCGUAGAUAUCGUAAGGAAGACCAGUGGCGAAGGCGGGUCUCUGGACAGUUCCUGACACUGAGACACGAAAGCCAGGGGAGCAAACGGGAUUAGAUACCCCGGUAGUCCUGGCAGUAAACGGUGCACGUUUGGUGUGGGGGGAUUCGACCCCUUCUGCGCCGGAGCUAACGCGUUAAACGUGCCGCCUGGGGAGUACGGUCGCAGAUUAAAACUCAAAGAAAUUGACGGGGCCCGCACAAGCGUUGA